UACGAAGGGGGCGAGCGUUGUUCGGAUUUACUGGGCGUAAAGGGCGCGCAGGCGGCGGACCAAGUCAGGCGUGAAAGCCCCGGGCUUAACCUGGGAGGUGCGUCUGGGACUGGACUGCUAGAGUUCGGGAGAGGAGAGUGGAAUUCCCAGUGUAGAGGUGAAAUUCGUAGAUAUUGGGAAGAACACCGGUGGCGAAGGCGGCUCUCUGGACCGAGACUGACGCUGAGGCGCGAAAGCGUGGGGAGCAAACGGG
This 253-nucleotide ribosomal RNA is filed under the name uncultured bacterium. RNAcentral's name for it is "partial 16S ribosomal RNA". It matches the Rfam family "Bacterial small subunit ribosomal RNA", at positions 524 to 776 of the family's 1533-position model. The record is from RNAcentral.